Molecule: long non-coding RNA, 683 nt
Filed under: Durio zibethinus
Lineage: Eukaryota; Viridiplantae; Streptophyta; Magnoliopsida; Malvales; Malvaceae
Description: long non-coding RNA (DZIB_LNC001705)
Source: RNAcentral
CAUAAUUGAAUGAACAUUAGGCGGUUUUGAAACAAUUAAAUCUAACUUAUUCCCAGGACCACUGACUGAAAUUACAUUCAUCAUUCCCCUGAAACAACUAAAAAAGCACAAAAAAUUGGACAUAAUUAUUCGAAGAUAAAGAAUAAGCAGCGAAUGAAAAUAAUCUUCUAAUAAUUUCGUCCCAAAUUGUCAUUGCUCACGUAAUUUUCAGCCAAGAAUUGCGGAAAAAUCUUGUCAUUGUUAUGUUCUAAAUCGAACUUAUAUUUGAAGAAAGAUAACAUAAUUGUACCAAUGAUUCAGAAUAAUUAAAGAACAUAAUCUCUGGAACAAACCGAUGUUUGAAAAUGUCCCCAUCUUUGGAACUUUAAACUGAAAUGUAAAGAAUUAUCCUGAAGAAAAGAGUGAAACAGUUGCAAUUUAUAAAAUGGGCAAGGAAAGAUUAUGAAAUAAAAAAACUAUAAAAGAAAUGGCUAAAUGGGUAUUUAAUAAAAGAAAGAAAAGUGUGAGAUGAAUAAUCAAAAGAAAUGAAGCAUCUUGAAAAGAAUGAAAGUGAGGAAACCGAAGAAGACGAAGAGGAAAAUGUAGUCCACCGUUACGAACAACUUGGUUGACCCAUGAUUUCCUUUCUUCUUCUUCGACUCAUCUAAUGCUUCGAGUUGCGCCAUUUAGCCAAGGUAUCUAGG